AUGAUGACCGGAUCGAGCUCCCGAGUGUUCAUCAUGCCCGGCGCCAGCCAUGUCCACUACCUCGUCGCGGGAGGCUCCGGAGGAGGCGACGACCCCAGGUACCCCUGGAGCUUCAAGUCCCUGCACGAGGUGGACGCCGUCGUCCCUGCCAUCGCCCGUGGAGCACCGGUAGAGCCUUACCGGUGCCCCAUCUGCUUCCGCACAUUCGCCAGUGCCAAGGCCGUCCAUGGCCACAUGCGCAGCCACACGGACCGCAGCUGGAACCUCUCGGUGACCUCGGGCCGGACCUCUCUUUGA
RNAcentral lists this ribosomal RNA (297 nucleotides) under Triticum aestivum (bread wheat). RNAcentral describes it as "partial small subunit ribosomal RNA". Lineage: Eukaryota; Viridiplantae; Streptophyta; Magnoliopsida; Poales; Poaceae. The record is from RNAcentral.